RNAcentral lists this long non-coding RNA (4467 nucleotides) under Nicotiana benthamiana. RNAcentral describes it as "long non-coding RNA (NBEN_LNC007295)". The record is from RNAcentral. Lineage: Eukaryota; Viridiplantae; Streptophyta; Magnoliopsida; Solanales; Solanaceae.
AAAGACAUGGCCAGGAACUCAUAAUGAAACUUAUCUCUUUAUUGGCGCAUCUCAAUUUUCCAAAUUCUCCUAACUCCCACUUUAUCAGAAAUUUCGACAGAGUCUCCUCUAUAAUUGGGCCUAUCCACCUGUCAGAGUGAUACCCAAAUCAACUCCUAGCAAUAUUUUCACAACCCGACAACAUACCUUAAAGAAUACAUCAAAACAUAAAUGACUAAAUAUGAUUAGAAGUUAUUCAAGAAUUAUCAAAUAAUCCUAACGGGUAUUACUCCCAUUUAAAAUAUAAUACAAGAUUUUUAUUUUAUAAAAGAAAAAUUUUUAACCCAAAAACUUUUCACCAGGACCUUGUCCUUAUAUAACAUACACCGCAGCUUCUGGCUUGGUUCAAAAUAUUUUACAUUAUAUAAAAAUUUGAGAAUCUCAUCCUCAACUCUAAAUCACAAGUAUUUGCACAUUAUACUAACUGAAAUCUUUCAUUUCCGUUCUUUCUUCUUCUCAAUAAUUUUUGUCAAAUAAAAUCACAACAUAAAAUGAACCCUCAUGCCGAUAGGGCAUAUAAUUGACAAUUGAAAUUAAUUAUCCAGAAGUUACAUCAAAACCACUGUAGUAAGUAAUAUAAAGUCACUUUUGGCCUCAUAGCUAUUCUAACACAUAAUAAUAGGGAUAGCUAUUUUCAUAUAAUAGCCCAACGUAAGUAUUCAUAUAAGUAGAUUUGAUGAUUACGAAGUUCACUCAUGAGUGGAGAAUAAUAAGAGGACUCGCCUCAAUUUUUCAAAACCAAAUCAAAUUAAGGUGAAUAUCCUUUUAUAACCAUCGGAAUUGUGCAUGUGAUGACACUAUCUGGUGUAGUGACCUCAGUCAUACCAUAGAAAUUAUAUCAAUGGCUGAGUCUCCACCUCUAGGAGCCCCACCUCCAUCUUUAACCUCCUGAUCCGUACCUUUGGCUGGUCAUGUAAGUUGAGUAUUGACUGCAAUGGGGCACGUAGCCUUAGCGCUUUCAUAAAUCAUAUUUCUCCAAUCUACCACAUUCACAACAAUUCCUUUGAGGCUCAACUAACUUAUUGUACCUGAUGACAUAUUCGGACAUUGUCAUGGUGACCUGGCACAAUCGUGCAGAUCGCAUAUACUACAUAUUGCUAAAAAUUCGGGAGAUAAACUCCUUCAAGACAUAUCUUAAAAUAGAGUUGAGUAGGUAGUGUCGCAUUGUCCAGUCUGCCCUCCUCGUAGGCUUGUCACAAACACCGACGACCAAUUUCCUCUUUUUCCAUGCUGGCUUGACACUGAUGAGCUACCCCUUUGUUCGUAUACUCUUCAUUAUUCCUUGGGGGCGAUCCUUACCCCCUGCAAGGUACCAAACCUUAAACAUGUAUAAUUAUUUGGGGAAUAUAUAUAUAUAUAUAUAUAUAUAUAUAUAUAUAUAUACCAAGCCAAAACUGACAUUACACAUGGCCAUCUGGUCCAUUCACUAAUAGUGGAAUUCCCACUUUUUGGCUCUAAGUCAAAGUUACAACAUUCGGCAAUCCACAAUAUUUUUCCUCCACAACUCAAAUAAAUUAACCAUACAUCAAGGUCCGUUGAACCCUUGUAUGAUUCAUUAGGUGAUUUCUUGAUACAUCUGCAUCUUUCGUUGGAACCACAAUUAGUCUGGUAAAUACAUUAUCUUUCCACUAUUUCUAUUUGUCAUCCGAAGCACAGUAAAAUUAACCCCCUCGCUUUCGACUAUUCCCACGUUCUGCAAUACCUCAUAGCAGCGGUCAAGAAACUCCCGUGGGUUCUUAAAAGAUGCAUCGCUGAAGGUGGUAGCGAAGAGUUUGGUAAAACAUAUCUGACCUCCGCAAAACCUCUGAAGGUGUCGUGGUUCUAUCACCAGCACGUGCUAUUGUUCGGCUGAAGAAGUGGUACGUGACUUCGCCAUUCGUGGGAAGACAAGAGUAGAAAUUCAAUUAGCUUUUGAAGAACAAUUUCGACAGGAAAGAAUGAAGGUGAAAUUUUCCUAAUUCUGUAGCCUCUAGGGGAUGAAUACAGACGUCUCCUUACCGAUACCUCAGACUCUACAAAGGUUGCUCGUGAGUUGUGAGACCUAUGUAACCUAGUGCUCCGAUGCCAACUGUCACGGCCCGAAAUUUCCCACCAUCGGGAGUCGUGUGCCUACUAAUAGGAGCUAGGCAAGCCAACUCUUACUUGUAUUUCGAUUUUUAACAAUACUUAUUUAAAGCUAUUAUCAACAAUAUUAAAAUUUCAGCGGAGUAAUUAAAUUUAGCGGAAGACUUAGUAAGUUUUACUAGAUGCAAUACUAAAAUUCCAACAUAAACACUACCCAAGAACUAGUGUCACAAUGCUCACAAACUUCUAUGAAUACUAAACACAACCGUUUGAAAGAAAUAUAAAACUGGUUUUCUCGAAUACAUCAGAUAACAGAUUGAUAAUAAAGAUAGAAGAGACAUCGGGUCCUGAGGACGCCUGCAAGGCUACCUCGGUGUCUCGAUGAUCAGAAUGCAAACAACCGUACUACUGCUACUAUUGUUGCCAGUAACCUGUAUCUGUGCAAAAAGAGCGCAUAUUAUAGAAUUAACACAACCGACGCCAUGUGCUGGUAAGUGUCUGGCCUAUCCCGGCGAAGUAGUGAUAAGGCUAUAACCAGACACUCACAUAAACAUAUACAGUUCAAAAUAUAUAUACAACAAAAAUACCAGGAAGAAACAUUAAGUAUUUGGGAAGGGAAACAUGCUCUGGGGUAGUGGCAAAAUAUAAUGUCAGAAAUAGAAUAAUGGAAUUUAAUUCACUUUCAAGUUCAACUCAUCUUGUUGCAGGCAUGCAACCCGUUUUCAUCACAAUAAAAUUUGUAGUAGACGUACCAUUGGAUAUCAUUUGAAUAUAUUAUAUAAGGGAUUGACCCAAUUUAUUAUGUAUAUUGUGGACGGCGUUCCACACGAUCCCAUUUCAAUAUAUAAGUGGUCGGCGUGCCACACGAUCCUAUUUCAAUAUAUAAGUAGUCGGCUUGCAACACGAUCCCAUUUCAAUAAAUAUGUGGUCGGCAUGCCACACAAUCCCAUUUUAAUAUAUAAGUGGUCGGCGUGCCACACAAUCCCAUUUCACUUUUAACAUAGUUCCAAAAAAUAUAUUAUUGGCAAGAGAAAACAAUAACUCGGUGCCAAGGCUCAAAAAUGAAUCUUUGUCUUUUAUUCACUUCUUACUCAAUUAUCAUGUCAUUGUUCGUGCCCACGCUCGAGGAAUUCACAAUUUAUAAUUUGCUUUUCACACUUAUCACAUAAUUUAGAAAUCAACAAUUAGGUGUGGAUGAGUUACGCCAAUAUCAAAUAAUCACAUGUAAAGACUCAUGGUCAUACUAGACCUCCAACGUAUAGAUACUCGUCACCAUGCCUAUACGUCGGACUGCACACAUAGCAAUCAACAAAUAGACUUAACUCUUAUUUCCUCAAGCUAGGAUAGAUCAAACACUUACCUCGAAGAUUUAUGGCUAACUCAAUCCUUAAGCAAUGCCUUUCCUAUCAAAUUUGUCUCCAAAUACUUCAAAUCUCAAUAUAGCCGGAAAAUUGAUUGUUUCUCUAUUCUGAACUCAAAAAUUCAACGAAUAUACUACUUGAGAAGCAACCUUCACAGCUGCAGAGAAAUUCCAUGUCAACACCUUCUUCCGUGCACCAAAAGGUGGAUUCAUCACAACCAUCUCAAAAACUUGACUUUUCCAUUUUUAGUUUCUAAUUCACAUUGAACAAAAUCCAUGUCUAAAUCAAGUUCAUCAGCGUUUGCAUAUGCAAUCACAAUAUUCCAACUUGGAUUUGUGUGCAUCCAUGUUUAUCAUAGCUUUGAAACCUUUUAGAAAACCUUUGAAUUAAAUGAAUUGAGUUGUAAAUACAAGCUUAGUAAGCAACUGGACAAUUUUGGAUAGGAGAUUCUGCCGGCGACAACGAACAGAACCGACAAUCGGAAACCAACUCGAACUAGCACUGAGCUUCGAACAGAUAGCGAUGACCUCGACGGCUCGAUGACUGGAAACCUCUCUUCUAAAUACAAGCUUAAUAAGCAACUGGACAAUUUUGGAUAAGAGAUUCUGCCGGCGACAACAAACAGAACCGACGACCGAAAACCAACUCAAACUAGCACUGAGCUUCAAACAGAUAGCGACGACCUCGAUGGCUCGAUGACUGGAAACAUCUCAAGUUCUGUCACUAUUUCUGCUAUAUUUCCGACCAAUCAUGGUAGCAUAGCUGCUGUCUGUUCAAGUUCGGCUGUCCUUUCUAUUUUUCCUAGGGUUCGCUACUUGUUUCCAUGAAGAAGAAGAUGGUCUAUGCUUCUCUUUUAAACAGAAUAGUGGAAGAAAAAAACGUAUUCCAUCUGAUAAUGUCCACCAAGUGAUCAUUUUCCUUUCUAUGAAAUUCUCACCUAAUCAUCAACUUAUAAAAUUGCUAGUGAAAUGUGUCUUUAAUAUGGGUUCCACCUAUAUUGACU